GACGUAGCGACAGAGAAGCACGGCUAACUCCGUGCCAGCAGCGCGUAUACGAGGGUGCGAGCGUAAUCGAUACUGGGCGUAAAGCGCAUGCAGGUGGUUGUAAGUCAGAUGUGAAAGCCCGGGGCUCAACCUCGGAAUAGCAUUGAAACUGGCAGACUAGAGUACUGUAGAGGGGGGUAGAAUUUCAGGUGUAGCGGUGAAAUGCGUAGAGAUCUGAAGGAAUACCGGUGGCGAAGGCGGCCCCCUGGACAGAUACUGACACUCAGAUGCGAAAGCGUGGGGAGCAAACAGGAUUAGAUACCUGGUAGUCCACGCCGUAAACGAUGUCUACUUGGAGGUUGUGGCCUUGAGCCGUGGCUUUCGGAGCUAACGCGUUAAGUAGACCGCCUGGGGGAGUACGGUCGCAAGAUUAAAACUCAAAUGAAUUGACGGGGGCCCGCACAAGCGGUGGAGCAUGUGGUUUAAUUCGAUGCAACGCGAAGAACCUUACCUACUCUUGACAUCCAGAGAACUUUCCAGAGAUGGAUUGGUGCCUUCGGGAACUCUGAGACAGGUGCUGCAUGGCUGUCGUCAGCUCGUGUUGUGAAAUGUUGGGUUAAGUCCCGCAACGAGCGCAACCCUUAUCCUUGUUUGCCAGCGAGUAAUGUCGGGAACUCCAGGGAGACUGCCGGUGAUAAACCGGAGGAAGGUGGGGACGACGUCAAGUCAUCAUGGCCCUUACGAGUAGGGCUACACACGUGCUACAAUGGCGCAUACAGAGGGCGGCCAACUUGCGAAAGUGAGCGAAUCCCAAAAAGUGCGUCGUAGUCCGGAUUGGAGUCUGCAACUCGACUCCAUGAAGUCGGAAUCGCUAGUAAUCGUGGAUCAGAAUGCCACGGUGAAUACGUUCCCGGGCCUUGUACACACCGCCCGUCACACCAUGGGAGUGGGCUGCAAAAGAAGUAGGUAGUUUAACCUUCGGGAGGACGCUACCACUUG
Molecule: ribosomal RNA, 978 nt
Filed under: Vibrio sp.
Lineage: Bacteria; Pseudomonadati; Pseudomonadota; Gammaproteobacteria; Vibrionales; Vibrionaceae
Description: bacterial SSU rRNA
Rfam family: Bacterial small subunit ribosomal RNA
Source: RNAcentral